GUUUUGUUGCAUUACCCUUUCGUCGCUUUGUCGUUUUUUUUAGGUUGAUUGCUCCGUUACUUGAGUAAUUUGUUUAUCUUUUUAUUUCAUUUUUUACUUUUUUUGCGUUCAUAUAUUUUUAUAAUGUAAAAAAAAAAAAAAAGCAUAGAAAAAAAAUAAAUUGUUAUUAUAUGAGCUUAAUAAUUUAAGUGAGUAUAUAUAUAUAUAUAUAUAUAUACAUAUAUAUACUGAUUAUUAUAUAUUGUACUCUUAGUGAUUAGAAUGGGUGCCAGCAAGCAUGAAAGUUUGCAUGUGAAUAAAGGAACAGGGAUAAGUAAAAAUGUAAAGGGUAGUGUUCGUGUUAGUAAUAGUUGUAAAACACGGGUGACGAAAGGAGUAGUGACAAGGCUAAGUGAAAGGAUUGCUUCCAUUAAUUGUGUUACAAACGUAACUUCGACAGGUUCGACAGUGAUAUCUACAAAAGUGACAGGAACAACAUCAACAGACUUAACAACACCUACAGCUGUAACUGUUACGGCAGCCAAAACUGCAGAUGUUAUGGCAGCCACAACUGCAGCUGUUACGGCAGCCAAAACUACAACUGCUACAGUAGUCACAAAUGGAACAACUACAGUAGCCAAAAAUGGAACAACCACAGUAGCCAAAAAUGGAACAACUACAGUAGCCACAAUUGGAACUACUACAGCAGACACGAUUGGAACUGCUACGGCAGCCACAAAUGGAACAACUACAGCAGCCACAAAUGCAAUUGUUACGACAUCCACAAAUGCAACUGAUGUGACAUCCUUAAAUGCAACUGAUGCGACAUCUACAAAUGCAACUGAUGUGACAUCCUUAAAUGCAAAUGAUGCGAAAACCACAAAUGUAACUACUACAAAUGUAGUAAUAGAAAAUAGAAUGACGAUUGGAGCUGUGAGUGCCCCCAAUGAAGGUAUAGAUGUUGCUGCUACUGAUAAUAUGACCCCUCCUCAACUAAUCCACAGUUCUAGUUUUACUCCCAAAGGAAAUAACAAAAUAAUAACAAAAGGAAUCGGUUCAUUAAAAAGUAAAGAAAAAGGAUAUAGCAAUAGCAGCCUUGCUAAUAGUCACAUAAAUAGUAGUGGUAGUAAACAUACAAAAGGUUGCGUGAACAAGGUUCGGAGUACUGGUAAAUCAAUAAAUGCAUCAUCCAAAUUUAAUGACUCUUAUGCAUUAAUAUUUCCCAAUGC
RNAcentral lists this long non-coding RNA (1208 nucleotides) under Piliocolobus tephrosceles (Ugandan red Colobus). RNAcentral's name for it is "lncRNA (ENSPTEG00000019056.1)". The record is from RNAcentral. Lineage: Eukaryota; Metazoa; Chordata; Mammalia; Primates; Cercopithecidae.